CAAAUCCUUGUAAGUCUUUUUUUCUUUUUUCUUUCUUCUCUCCUCCCAUGUCAAGUUUCUCAUCGCAUUGGUGGGAUUGGGAUCUCCCUGGAAACGGUGUACACACAGAGACGAAUGGAGCUGUAAAACAAGCAUUCCACAUCUGUUUCUUUCAAAUAUCGCCCAAUCGGUAGGUGAAACGACAGGAAAAACACAAAAGAAAUCGGGAAAAAGAA
RNAcentral lists this non-coding RNA (215 nucleotides) under Palpitomonas bilix. The record is from RNAcentral.